UACGGAGGGGACUAGCGUUGUUCGGAAUUACUGGGCGUAAAGCGCACGUAGGCGGAUUUGUAAGUCAGGGGUGAAAUCCCAGGGCUCAACCCUGGAACUGCCUUUGAUACUGUCGAUCUGGAGUAUGGAAGAGGUGAGUGGAAUUCCGAGUGUAGAGGUGAAAUUCGUAGAUAUUCGGAGGAACACCAGUGGCGAAGGCGGCUCACUGGUCCAUUACUGACGCUGAGGUGCGAAAGCGUGGGGAGCAAACAGG
Molecule: ribosomal RNA, 253 nt
Filed under: uncultured bacterium
Lineage: Bacteria
Description: partial 16S ribosomal RNA
Rfam family: Bacterial small subunit ribosomal RNA
Source: RNAcentral